This 409-nucleotide ribosomal RNA is filed under the name Bacillota bacterium. RNAcentral describes it as "Firmicutes bacterium partial 16S ribosomal RNA". It matches the Rfam family "Bacterial small subunit ribosomal RNA", at positions 355 to 776 of the family's 1533-position model. Lineage: Bacteria; Bacillati; Bacillota. The record is from RNAcentral.
UGGGGAAUAUUGCACAAUGGGCGAAAGCCUGAUGCAGCGACGCCGCGUGAGGGAUGACGGCCUUCGGGUUGUAAACCUCUUUCAGCAGGGACGAAGCGCAAGUGACGGUACCUGCAGAAGAAGCACCGGCUAACUACGUGCCAGCAGCCGCGGUAAUACGUAGGGUGCAAGCGUUGUCCGGAAUUACUGGGCGUAAAGAGUUCGUAGGCGGUUUGUCGCGUCGUUUGUGAAAACCAGCAGCUCAACUGCUGGCUUGCAGGCGAUACGGGCAGACUUGAGUACUGCAGGGGGGAGUGGAAUUCCUGGUGUAGCGGUGAAAUGCGCAGAUCUCAGGAGGAACACCGGUGGCGAAGGCGGGUCUCUGGGCAGUAACUGACGCUGAGGAACGAAAGCGUGGGUAGCGAACAGG